Molecule: ribosomal RNA, 427 nt
Filed under: uncultured bacterium
Lineage: Bacteria
Description: partial 16S ribosomal RNA
Rfam family: Bacterial small subunit ribosomal RNA
Source: RNAcentral
GUGGGGAAUAUUGGGCAAUGGGGGAAACCCUGACCCAGCGACGCCGCGUGAGGGAAGAAGGCCUUAGGGUCGUAAACCUCUGUUGUGUGGGAAGAAGAGCGUGACGGUACCACACGAGGAAGUCCCGGCUAACUACGUGCCAGCAGCCGCGGUAAUACGUAGGGGACGAGCGUUGUCCGGAUUUACUGGGCGUAAAGGGCGCGUAGGCGGUCAUUUAAGUCAGCUGUGAAAUGGUUUGGCUUAACCGGAUCAUGCGGUUGAAACUGUAUGACUGGAGUGCUGGAGAGGAAAGUGGAAUGCCCAGUGUAGCGGUGAAAUGCGUAGAUAUUGGGAAGAACACCGGUGGCGAAGGCGACUUGCUGGCCAGCAACUGACGCUGAGGCGCGAAAGCCAGGGGAGCAAACGGGAUUAGAAACCCCUGUAGUCC